UCCCCUCCUAGAAUGGGGGUAAGGGAGGGUGAUGAAACGUUGGAACAACUGAACAUCCCUGACCAUUUACUCCAAAAGCCUUUUGUAUUCCAGCAGGAUCUGUGCAAUCUUUUCUGUCUUCACAUGACACCAUAGACCUAGGCCUGAAAUAACUGGGAAGAGAGAUGAGUAUCAGAAUGUCUCAGCAAGAACUAGACAAAACAUCCAUCCUCUUUAGCAUGAAUUGAGCUGGGGGUGAAGUGGGAGGGCUUGGAGGAAGGAAAAAAGAAGGGACUGUUUCGAAUAAAUAUGAAUACAUUCAUUAGAUACUUUUCACAAUCAGAUAGCUCCCUCCAAAAUGGU
This 342-nucleotide long non-coding RNA is filed under the name Bos taurus (domestic cattle). RNAcentral's name for it is "long non-coding RNA NONBTAT011159". Lineage: Eukaryota; Metazoa; Chordata; Mammalia; Artiodactyla; Bovidae. The record is from RNAcentral.